RNAcentral lists this ribosomal RNA (460 nucleotides) under uncultured bacterium. RNAcentral describes it as "partial 16S ribosomal RNA". It matches the Rfam family "Bacterial small subunit ribosomal RNA", at positions 338 to 795 of the family's 1533-position model. The record is from RNAcentral.
CCUACGGGUGGCAGCAGGGAGGAAUAUUGGGCAAUGGGCGCGAGCCUGAACCAGCCAAGGAGCGUGAAGGAUGACGGCCCUACGGGGUGUAAACUUCUUUUAUAAAGGAAUAAAGUGAGGCACGUGUGCCUUUUUGUAUGUACUUUAUGAAUAAGGAUCGGCUAACUCCGUGCCAGCAGCCGCGGUAAUACGGAGGAUCCGAGCGUUAUCCGGAUUUAUUGGGUUUAAAGGGAGCGUAGGUGGGUUGGUAAGUCAGUGGUGAAAGUUUGCGGCUCAACCGUAAAAUUGCACUUGAUACUGGCAGCCUUGAGUUCAGUUGAGGUCGGCGGAAUUCGUGGUGUAGCGGUGAAACGCUUAGAUAUCACGAAGAACUCCGAUUGCGAAGGCAGCCUACUAGACUGCAACUGACAUUGAUGCUCGAAAGUGUGGGUAUCAAACAGGAUUAGCUACCCCAGUAGUC